RNAcentral lists this ribosomal RNA (495 nucleotides) under uncultured bacterium. RNAcentral's name for it is "partial 16S ribosomal RNA". It matches the Rfam family "Bacterial small subunit ribosomal RNA", at positions 28 to 507 of the family's 1533-position model. The record is from RNAcentral.
GACGAACGCUGGCGGCGUGCCUAAUACAUGCAAGUCGAACGCUGAAGGAGGAGCUUGCUUCUCUGGAGGAGUUGCGCACGGGUGAGUAACGCGUAUGUAAACUGCCUGGUAUAGGGGGGUAACACUUGGAAACGAUAUCUAUAAUCGCAUAAUAGUAUAUGUUGCAUGAAAUUUUCUUAUAAAUGGGAAUUUUGUUCCAACAAAAUGGACCUGCGUGUUAUUAGCUAGGUUGUGAGGUAACGGCUCACCAAGGCGACGAUACAUAGCCGACCUGAGAGGGUGAUCGGCACCACUGGGACUGAGACACGGCCCAGACUCCUACGGGAGGCAGCAGUAGGGAAUCUUCGGCAAUGGACGGAAGUCUGACCGAGCAACGCCGCGUGAGUGAAGAAGGUUUUCGGAUCGUAAAGCUCUGUUGUAAGAGAAGAACGAGUGUGAGAGUGGAAAGUUCACACUGUGACGGUAUCUUACCAGAAAGGGACGGCUAACUACGUG